UCACCAAGGCGACGAUCAGUAGCGGGUCUGAGAGGAUGAUCCGCCACACUGGGACUGAGACACGGCCCAGACUCCUACGGGAGGCAGCAGUGGGGAAUUUGGACAAUGGGCGCAAGCCUGAUCCAGCCAUGCCGCGUGUCUGAAGAAGGCCUUCGGGUUGUAAAGGACUUUUGUCAGGGAGCAAAACUUACUGGUUAAUACCUGGUGAGGUUGAGAGUACCUGAAGAAUAAGCACCGGCUAACUACGUGCCAGCAGCCGCGGUAAUACGUAGGGUGCAAGCGUUAAUCGGAAUUACUGGGCGUAAAGCGUGCGCAGGCGGACUUUUAAGCCAGAUGUGAAAGCCCCGAGCUUAACUUGGGAAUUGCGUUUGGAACUGGGAGUCUAGAGUCUGUCAGAGGGGGAUGGAAUUCCACGUGUAGCAGUGAAAUGCGUAGAGAUGUGGAGGAACACCGAUGGCGAAG
Molecule: ribosomal RNA, 462 nt
Filed under: uncultured bacterium
Lineage: Bacteria
Description: bacterial SSU rRNA
Rfam family: Bacterial small subunit ribosomal RNA
Source: RNAcentral